ACUCUGCUCUCCCCUUAUAGUCCCGAGGAAGGGGGAGAGAGAAGCGGACGUCACCUCUUCCUUUUUUGCCAAUUUAGCGCCAUUUCCUUGCCGCCCUCUGCCCCUUGAUACCCUCGGGACUCACAGAACCCUAGUACCGCGGCGCCGUGUUGUGAGGGACGCCCUGGGGCACCUGCUGAGGCUGGAGAGGACGGCAAACAGAAUCUCUGUGAAGGUGGCUUAGUGCGUCCCGCGGAGACUCGAGGCGCUGGGACCUUUUUUCUCCUUCUCUCCUCUGUCUCCCCCCUAUCUUCCCUCCCUCAAAUGAGCCUGUAAGGGCAGCCACAGGAAACCCUUAACUCCGCCAGCCAUGUCUUCGGGGAUAAUCGGGUGUCGGGAGUUCGUGGUCGGGGGAAAAUACAGACUGGUGAGGAAAAUCGGCAGUGGCAGCUUCGGGGACAUUUACCUGGGCAUCAACAUCACCAAUGGAGAGGAGGUGGCCAUCAAGCUGGAGGCCAUGAAGGCACGCCACCCACAGUUGCUGUAUGAAAGCAAGGUGUACAAGAUCCUGCAAGGGGGCGUUGGCAUCCCACAUAUCAGGUGGUUUGGUCAGGAGCAGCAGUACAAUAUCUUGGUGAUGGACCUGCUGGGACCUUCACUUGAGGACCUCUUCAAUUUCUGCAGUCGCCGCUUCACUAUGAAGACCGUCCUGAUGUUGGCUGACCAGAUGAUUGGCCGCAUUGAGUUUAUCCACAAUAAGAAUUUCAUUCACAGAGACAUCAAACCAGAUAAUUUCUUGAUGGGGAUUGGGCGACACUGCAACAAGCUUUUCUUGAUUGAUUUUGGGCUGGCCAAGAAGUACCGUGACAACCGGUCGCGUGCCCACAUUCCUUACCGGGAGGACAAGAACCUCACUGGCACCGCCCGUUACGCCUCCAUCAAUGCCCAUCUUGGUAUUGAACAAAGCCGGCGGGAUGACAUGGAAAGUCUUGGAUAUGUGUUGAUGUACUUCAACCGGGGCUCACUACCUUGGCAGGGGCUCAAGGCUGCUACUAAGAAGCAAAAAUAUGAGAAAAUUAGUGAGAAAAAGAUGUCAACUCCUGUAGAGUCUUUAUGCAAGGCCUAUGAUGUCUUUUUUGGACCACUUCAUUCCAAGAUUUCUUUGGUCAUGCCCUGAAAACUACCAGCUAAGUUCACAUCUCUGAUUGCCACCAGGCUAAAAUUUCAAUUAUUGCUCAGUUUGUACAUUGUGAUAGUCUUCUUAUCUGUAAAAUAUGGGGAAAAGAACAAGGAUAUGCAAGUGACAUGCAUGCUGUUGGUAUGAGGGAGUGAGCCCUUUACAAGUAUAAUGAGAGUAUUGUAAUACACAAGAUGUGAAGAAAAAAAAGAGUGUAGUCUGAUAGAGACCUCUCUUGGAGUGAUUCUAGAUUAUUUAGAAACGAUAAGGCACAGGCAUAAAGCAGAUUAGAUUAUAUGUUUCCUACAGAGAAAUAUGAAUUAUUGAAGUAGCAAAGAACAGUUUCAAUACAGAUGUUAGGAAUCUGGCCAAUUAUGAAACUUUAAUGUGUGUGCUGCAAGCAGUCUUUGCCAUCGUGUAAUUCAUCCCUCCACUUUACAGGGCUUCCCAGCAGAGUUUGCAAUGUAUCUGAACUACUGUCGGGGACUGCGCUUUGAUGAGGCUCCCGACUACAUGUAUCUUCGGCAGUUGUUCCGCAUUCUGUUCCGCACCCUGCACCACCAGUAUGACUAUACCUUUGAUUGGACCAUGCUCAAGCAGAAGGCUGCCUCCACUGCCGCAGCCGUCUCUGGUACUACGCCCCAGCCCCCCGCCACCCCGGGCACUCAGAAGCAGCUCUGAGGGCCCGGCAGCUGAGGGGGCAGCAGCAGCGGGCGGAGGAGGUGGUGCAGUGCAUGAGGAACCGAAGGAGGAGAAAAAAGAUGGUAACAGAUCACCACCCUCACCCCCAAGUCAAAACACAAGGAAGAAGAGGAGGCUGUUAUCUCCUCCAGAGGGAGAGGUAAUUUAACUGCCUGCCUCAACCAGAGAGUAGUGCCUCCUCCCCCACCCUCAGCAAGUAGUAGUGGCAAGGGGGGAUUAAUCAAUGGUAAUUUUACAGUGGUGGUGUUUGGUCAAUCAUACCCCUUCAGUGGUGGUGAUCAUUAUGACAGAAUAAUGUAUGGUUGACAGUAAUUCUUAAAUGGCAGUAAUUGGUCAAUUGCAUCAAGGCAGUUGGUUAGCAGUGAAAUGUAUGAUAGCUUGACACCAGUGACAUGUUGUAUAUGCAGCAACAGUGUGUGUGAGUGUGUGUGUUUGUUUUUGUGUAAGUAUGUACACUUAUGUGUGUGUGUGAGAUUGCUGCAUACAUGCCACAGGAGCAAGUCAAAAGAUUUCUCAGUUUGUGAGUAUGUACGCUGCCUGUUAGGCCAAGAAAGUUGUGUCAAGCCUGUGAGAUACAUGAAUCAAGUUUCUCAAGUGCUGACAAACCAUGCCAGAUAUUUUAAGGAUAAUGUUGAUGUUCUUUUGUCAUCUUAAAGACAAACACUUGAAGGGUAAUGUUCAUAAUCUUAUGCCAUCAUUAAACCUAAGGUGGUGAAUAACAAAGUUGUGGCAGUGUGUGAUGCCACCGGCACUUCUGGGUGUCACAUAGUAUGUAUCGUGUUCUGUCCCAUGGGCUAGAGGAAGGAGGAAGGGCGAGAAGAAGAGACUUUAUUGUGUACAUAUGUAUGAGUGGCAUCUGUUUCAUCCUAGAAAGUGUGUGUGUGUGUAUUUGUCUGUUUCAUCGAGUAUGAGGUUGUGUGCAUGUAGAUGCCAUGUUUGUUUAUCUCCUGUCUAGCCUCGUCUUGUUUACUCUAGCAACAACAAAACAAUAGUGAAGUAUCUAAACAUGACCUUCCCUCUCCCCCUCAACAGCAUCCUCCUCCUGAUGUCAUGUAUCAUGAAUUUGUGGAUAUGACUUGACAUUACCCACCUUUAUUUCUCAAACACCUGCUCUUUCCUCACUAUUCCCAACACACACAAAAAAAAAGAUAAAGUAAAAAAUUUGUGAAAAAAAAAUAUUCACUGCAAGUUCUUAAUAAAUAAACAAAAUAGGCAAGGGUAAGAUUUUUUAUUUAGUUUUGCUUUUUGUCGUCUUUUAAGUUUUAAGGAGAUUGUAAAAUAAAAAGUGAACUCCUCCGUCUCUCUGUAAGUUGAGUAGGAUAUCUUUUUGGUGUGCGUGCGCUCAUUUUUAUUUUCUUUGCUCUGCCUUUCGGCAAAUGGAGGCACUAUACACAGACACGUCAAUAUAAGAUAGUAACCCAACAAGUAAAUGCAAACCUAGAGUAUGGCUUUGCAAACUUGGAUUAUAGUUUUGUCCUUUGUUUAUUUUCAUAGGUGGAAACACCCUUGGCACUGAAAGGACAAAAGUUCAAGUUCUGUGAAUUGAGUUUUGUGAUGCCUUGAUAAGAAAAAAAUUGUAUGUAUGUAUUUUCAUUUUUAGAAAUUAUCACUGUCUCAUGACUAUAUUGUCUUUUGCAAAGAAGACAUGAUUAAACAUGGCUUAAAAGUAAUCUCAAGAACAUGCUCUCCUAUUUUGUCGUGAGUUGCUUUUGUUUUUCCCCACCUCUGAUUUAUAUACACUGUUUAUAUAAAGAUUUCAUUCAUCUUCAGUCAGUCAGUCAGUCAGGUUGACGAGCACCAUCCUAUUUUGCUUUCAGUCGCAAUUGUGCCCAUCACCUCUUUAUUACCCAAGGGUUAUGUAGUUGUUUUGAGUUUUGUGAAGUCCAAUUCUUGCUUGUGGAAGCACCAAGAAAGUGGUGCUUGUUGAGCGGACACUCCCAAACAUGGACAUGUGAAGAUCCUAUGGCACUUUGUAUUCUAGAAUAACCCUGAGUCAUGCAAUAACUCAUCCAGGUCAUCCCCCAACCCCACGCUGAUAAAGUGGGACUCAUUUGACAGACUCCAAGCCCUUUCCAAGUUUGGGUCUCUGUUUAGAGUCUAUUUACUCUAGUGACCUCAAUGUAUUGUAAUAAACAUGGGUCACCUGAACCCCUAGCCCUCAUGCUUGUCAGUGUGGUAUUGAGUAUUGGUUCUGAGAUAAGCCUGGUCAAUGAACUACACAAACUACAUUGUACCAAGUGGUCCAGGUUUGAGAGUAACCGCUGAAUAUCUCUGUAAUUUUUUUUUUCAGCGUGUAUGACUUCUAACUUGGAUAGAGGAUUAAACUAUAUAUAUGGAAUAAGAAAAUAUAUAUAUGUAUACAUUAUAUGGAAGUUAGUUGGGUAAGAAGAAAGCAAAUUAUGUAAUGUAAGGCAACUCCUUGACAGUGAUUCACAAGCGGUGGAGUGUAUAACCUUUGUUUUUUCCACCGUGAGUGCUGUUGUGUGUGUGUGUGUGUGUGUGUGUGUGUGUGUGUGUGUGUGUGUGUGUCAGUCUUUGUGUGUGUGUGUGUGUGCAUGUGUGCAUAUGUGAGAAAAAAAAAAUGUUAUACUUAUUUUUUAUUUUUAUUUUAUUUUUUCCACAAUUGUAUUUUAGAAGUUUCCAAGGAUGUAAAUGACUUCACAAAAUUCAAACCCUCAUGUGUAUAAACACACACACACACACACACACACACACACACACACACACACACACACACACACACACACACACACACACACACACACACACACGC
Molecule: RNA transcript, 4631 nt
Organism: Portunus trituberculatus (swimming crab)
Lineage: Eukaryota; Metazoa; Arthropoda; Malacostraca; Decapoda; Portunidae
Gene name: casein kinase I
Exons: 7
Source: RefSeq, a predicted model, not a curated record